AUACAUCAGCAUCCACUGCCCGUGGUUCAUGUUGAUGCAUUCCUUUAUGAUGAUGAUUUUCGUUGAUUCAUUGUGUGAGGAGGAGAGAAUGAAUAGAAAUUACUGUGCAGAGUGUGGCUCAUACAAGACUGCAUCUUUAGGGUUAUCUUUAUAGCUCAGCAUCCCAACUCUAUGGAGUAGAAAUGAAGACUUUUGCCAGUUGCAAGAAAUGACAGUUAUAAAAUACCAGCUCAUUAACAGAAUAAAGGUGAAAGUAAAUGAAAUCAAGCCAGCUCCUAUGCUGUCUGGGGACGCAGUCGUUUGGGAAGGUGGUUCAUGCAGACAUCUGUACUCAGGCUUCACUUCUUCAGUAGGCUGAUGUUUGUUGUUGUAAUGAAUAAUGUCUUUGAAUAUUUUCUCGACAGACUGGAACAGGCCAGAGCUUGGGAGUUUAUUGCUUGUAAUGUAAAGAAAAGAGGGUCCUUAUUAGUGACAGUUCCAAACCUUAAAGAUUUGCUCUCAAAGCUUCGGCUGUCUUCUCCCCCAGGCUCCCGGAGGAGAGCAGCCGGAGGCAAGCAGCCGGAGGCAAGCAGAAGUGCCACCCGAGUGUGGCAUUGCCUGCCUCUUGUCUCUGUCACUGGAAGACAGUAACAGCACUCUUAGCCAGUCACUUUAGCGGAGCAGCUUCUCCAGGCCAAUGCGGCCUGGAAUAAUGAUGGAAGCUUUUCUAAAGGACUGCUUCGCACUCUCCAGGAAUUCCCAUCAGGGCCUCCAAAGAAAUGGUCAGACCCAGCCCCAUCCCACUUCGGAGGUACCAUGGCAGACCCAGGCUCUGACUCCCCGCCUUGGAAAUGUGGGAGCUCAGCACAGACAAUGCUGUGCCUCAUUGCCAGCAUUUUAACAAAUGGUCUCUCAAAAUUCACCCUUGGGCUGUGACAAACCCUCUGCAGUAGAGGGGCAUGUAUUUGUAGAAAUAAGUGGAGAAGGAGGGCAAUGCUGUUUGGCCAACUAAUGCACGUUAAAUUUCUGCAAAUGUCGGUACAUCCACUCGUUUGAGAACAGAUUCAUGUGGCACAGUGUUUUGGGGAAGAGAGAGAGAUGGA
Molecule: long non-coding RNA, 1082 nt
Organism: Cygnus atratus (black swan)
Lineage: Eukaryota; Metazoa; Chordata; Aves; Anseriformes; Anatidae
Exons: 6
Source: RefSeq, a predicted model, not a curated record